Molecule: ribosomal RNA, 229 nt
Filed under: uncultured bacterium
Lineage: Bacteria
Description: partial 16S ribosomal RNA
Rfam family: Bacterial small subunit ribosomal RNA
Source: RNAcentral
GAUCAUGGCUCAGGAUGAACGCUAGCUACAGGCUUAACACAUGCAAGUCGAGGGGCAGCAUGGCCUUAGCUUGCUAAGGCUGACGGCGACCGGCGCACGGGUGAGUAACACGUAUCCAACCUGCCUUACACUCUUGGACAGCCUUCUGAAAGGGAGAUUAAUACAAGAUGUUAUCAUGAGUAAGCAUUUUCGCAUGAUUAAAGGUUUACCGGUGUAAGAUGGGGAUGCG